Molecule: long non-coding RNA, 1345 nt
Organism: Nicotiana tabacum (common tobacco)
Lineage: Eukaryota; Viridiplantae; Streptophyta; Magnoliopsida; Solanales; Solanaceae
Source: RefSeq, a predicted model, not a curated record
CACAUGUUAGCCUUUUUUCCUCUGCGACACAUGUCUUCUAUUCCACUUCAUUUUGAUGUUUCUAAUUCUUUCUUGGUUCUUCCGUGCAUUAUUGCUCUGUAAAUUUCCUUUUGCUUUCAUUUUUUGUCCUUCCUUAAACAAUGGAACAAGGAUAGCUAAACAAGACAUAUAUUGCAUGCCUGUCUUUACUGCAUAUUCUCCACAACAUUCUGAUCUAUCAUUUAACAACUCAAAUGCUACAUUGUUAAGUUCUUAUUAGUUGUAUCAUAUAAUUUUCAUAUAUGCCAUUUGUUGCCAUUUGCAUUUCCAUUAGAAUAUGUCUACUAUCUACGUAACUUUAUUUGUGUUAAAAGGAGAAUUAAAUAUACCAUAUUGUUUUUAGGAUUUAUAUCAACUUACAGAUAUUAAUUUUGUAAAAUUGUAAACAACUUGUAAUACUUGCAACAUGUGUAUCCGGAAACGAGGAUACUAUAGAUUUGCUGCGUAGACCUUAAAAGAUUGAGGAACAUUGAAUUGUUAAUCGAAAUUUGUGACGUCGUGGUAGAUAUGCACAACUGUCUCUGAGAGAAAAUAAUUAUUUUUGUCCCAUCUACCAAUUAAAAGAGUUGGAUAAAAAAGGGCAAACACCAUCAAUAUUCAAAUAAUACACUUCCCUGAUGUAUAAAUCGGGGUAGAAGGCUUUGGGUUUGAGAUCCGAAUUUAAUAACAAUAGAAUACAUUCAAGUGGAAGUGGUAGAGAUGCGGGCUGAGAUGUCAAGCUGAAAAAUAGUAAAUUUUUCAGGUUAUCAAAAGAUUUGAGUGGUAAGUUUUAAAAGUUAUUUCGAUGUUUAAAUCAUAUAAACUAGAUUAAACUUUUUGCUAUAAUGUUGGGGAACUUGAGACUGGUUUGAUUAUUGACUCCAUAUUGUGAAGCAAAUAAAGAAUUUGUCACAGUUCGCCUCUCUUUAUUGAUGUACUUCAAUACUCAGUUACAUGCUUCUUAUUGUUGGAGAAAGUUUGUUUAGCUAACAUUCUAUUUUGAUUUUAUAAGAAAUGUGUUAGUCUGGUAUAGCGAAGAUAAGAUCCUUUCUUUAUGGCACUUCAAAUAUGUUAUGAAGAGAUAAGGAGUCUUUACAGAUAUAUCAAACAACUUUUGCCGUGCAUACUUGCCAGACCAUAAUUGUUAGUAUAACAAUUGAGAAAGUCAAAGGAAGAUGUUACAUGUGAAAUGCCUUACUUCCAUGAGAAAACAAAAAGAUUGUAAAGUGGAAGAAAGAAGUAUGCAUAAAGUUUAUGUGAACUGUAACUCUUUAAGUACUACUUUCUAUCAAUGUAUCUCUUCUCACGUUACUGCAACUUUCAGAUU